CCCAGAAGGAUGAAUUCAAUGUCUGCCCCUCAGAGCUCUGUCUUCCUCCCCAGAAAGGAUAAUAUGGGUUCUACCUCCAUUGCAGACAUUUGACAACCCAAAUCAGAAUGGGUUCUGCUAGGCUGUAGCCUUUGAUUCUUUGACACAGUUCAGUUCAGGUUUCUUUCUGCCCUAUGAGCCCCUGCCUAAGCAAAACUGGACAUUUUCUUCCACCCUCCUGGCUGGUAAUCCGUGUUUAUAUAUUCUAGCAAUACUAAUAGUUUAUUAUUUAGAGAUGUAUAUUUGCAUCCUAUUUUUUACCUUUUUGACUUUCCAGAAUGCAUUCCAGUUUCAUUUAUUUCUCUAGCAGGUCUCAGAAUUUUUAUGGUAAGAUCAGCUGUUUAUAAGCAUGUAUUCCUUUCAUCAGUAGAGAGAUUCUUAUAAAAGUGCUUCUUAAUGAUUUCCUUAGUCUGCAAUUGGACUGACAUGUGUUCACAAAUAAUAAUGCUAAGCGGGGCACUAUACAAAGAAAGUUAAAGGUCUUAGAUGUCCUUUUUGUUUUUAACAGAAUCAUCAAAAAUAAAAGUAAGACAGCCUUUCAGGAUUGAUAAUGGUAAAGUAAGAAGCUGCUGUUUUGCACUGGCACACUCUACUUGGCUCAUAGAACUUGUUCAGCAUUCUUGGAUCAUGUGAGUUAGAUUUAUUUUUCCUUCUCCUCAUCAGGGAAACUGAUAGAUUAAAUAGUUUCGGGAAUUUUCCCAAGGUCUAAUGUCUUACGUUGAGCUAUUAAACAGAGCACUGA
This 781-nucleotide long non-coding RNA is filed under the name Bos taurus (domestic cattle). Its description in RNAcentral is "long non-coding RNA NONBTAT001313". The record is from RNAcentral. Lineage: Eukaryota; Metazoa; Chordata; Mammalia; Artiodactyla; Bovidae.